GCAUCGGUAGGGUAUGGUACACCCGUUGAAGUAAAAACGGGCCCGCUUUGGAUUCAAUUGACUGUCAGAGCUGGGGUUCGAUUCCCCACCGGUGCA
This is a non-coding RNA of Mycena polygramma, 96 nucleotides long. The record is from the annotation of a GenBank genome assembly. NCBI's taxonomy places the organism in Eukaryota, Fungi, Basidiomycota, Agaricomycetes, Agaricales, Mycenaceae.